UCGAACGCAAGUAGCAAUACUUGAGUGGCGGACGGGUGAGUAACGCGUGAGAAUCUACCUAGAGGACUGGGAUAACAGCUGGAAACGGCUGCUAAUACCAGAUGUGCCGCAACGUGAAAGAGGUUUCCUCGCCUCUAGAAGAGCUCGCGUCUGAUUAGCUAGUUGGUGAGGUAAAGGCUCACCAAGGCUGCGAUCAGUAGCUGGUCUGAGAGGAUGACCAGCCACACUGGGACUGAGACACGGCCCAGACUCCUACGGGAGGCAGCAGUGGGGAAUUUUCCGCAAUGGGCGAAAGCCUGACGGAGCAAGACCGCGUGAGGGAGGAAGGCCUUUGGGUUGUAAACCUCUUUUCUCAGGGAAGAAGAAAGUGACGGUACCUGAGGAAUCAGCCUCGGCCAACUCCGUGCCAGCAGCCGCGGUAAUACGGAGGAGGCAAGCGUUA
This 442-nucleotide ribosomal RNA is filed under the name uncultured bacterium. RNAcentral's name for it is "bacterial SSU rRNA". It matches the Rfam family "Bacterial small subunit ribosomal RNA", at positions 62 to 543 of the family's 1533-position model. The record is from RNAcentral.